This 1402-nucleotide ribosomal RNA is filed under the name Hylarana milleti. RNAcentral's name for it is "partial 16S ribosomal RNA". It matches the Rfam family "Bacterial large subunit ribosomal RNA", at positions 372 to 2599 of the family's 2925-position model. Lineage: Eukaryota; Metazoa; Chordata; Amphibia; Anura; Ranidae. The record is from RNAcentral.
GCCAAAUAUCUAGCCCACCUUAUUCUUAUGUAGUCCCCUAAUUUUUGAUUUCUAAUAAAACAUUUUUUUAUUUUAGUAUAGGAGAUAGAAAAACUUCUAGGCGCCUUAGAUAUAGUACCGCAAGGAAUGAUGAAAUAAAAAUGAAAUAAUUUUUAAGCCUUAAAUAGCAGAGAUUCCCCCUCGUACCUUUUGCAUCAUGGUCUAGCUAGUCUAACAAGCAAAAAGUCAUUUAAGUUUGACACCCCGAAACUAGGCGAGCUACUUGCAAACAGCCUAAUGGGCCAACCCGUCUCUGUUGCAAAAGAGUGGGAAGAUUUUUAAGUAGAGGCGACAAACCUACCGAGCCUAGAGAUAGCUGGUUGUUCAGGAAAAGAAUAUUAGUUCUCCCUUAAGUUUUGUUAUCCUUACAAAGACCUCCCUAAACUUAAGAGCUAUUUAAAUAAGGCACAGCUUAUUUAACACAGGGUACAACCUCUAAGACCGGGUAAAUUCGGACAGUAAAAACACAGUGGGCCUAAAAGCAGCCAUCUUCCAAAAGCGUUAAAGCUUAAUUUUAUUUGUUCACAAUUUUUUUUAUUACAAAUCAACCCCUCACUCGUACUGAACUAUUUUAUAUAUUUAUAAAAGCUAUUAUGCUAGAACUAGUAACAAGAAAUUGAUUUUCUCCAAAAUGUGAGUGUAACCCAGUAUAAACUCCCACUGACACCUAACGUAAAUGCUUUUAUUAUAACAACAAUGACCCAGCAAACCCUAUAAUCUAAAACGUUAACCUUACACAAGAACAUUUCAGGAAAGAUUAAAAGAGAAAGAAGGAACUCGGCAAACCUUAGCCCCGCCUGUUUACCAAAAACAUCGCCUCUUGAAUACAUAAGAGGUCCAGCCUGCCCAGUGACAAAGUUUAACGGCCGCGGUACCCUAACCGUGCGAAGGUAGCAUAAUCACUUGUUCUUUAAAUAGGGACUUGUAUCAACGGCAUCACGAGGGCUAUACUGUCUCCUUUCUCCAAUCAGUGAAACUGAUCUCCCCGUGAAGAAGCGGGGAUUUGUUUAUAAGACGAGAAGACCCCAUGGAGCUUUAAGCAAUAUAUUUACUCUUUUGCCAUAAACCAACUAACAGCAAAGACCUGAAUAAUAGCUUUAGGUUGGGGGACCGCGGAGAAUAAUAUAACCUCCACGACAAACGGCCAUGCCCUUAUCCACGAGCCGCAACUCUAAGAAUUAAUAAACUAAUGUUUUAUGACCCAAUUUUUUGAUUAACGAACCAAGUUACCCUGGGGAUAACAGCGCAAUCUACUUCAAGAGCCCUUAUCGACAAGUAGGUUUACGACCUCGAUGUUGGAUCAGGGCAUCCUAGUGGUGCAGCCGCUACUAAUGGUUCGUUUGUUCAACGAUUAAAGCCUUAA